GAGGAACACUACAGUGAUGUUUUACAGUAAGCCAGGUGAGGAACACUGCAGUGAUGUUUUACAGUAAGCCAGGUGAGGAACACUGCAGUGAUGUUUUACAGUAAGCCAGGUGAGGAACACUGCAGUGAUGUUUUACAGUAAGCCAGGUGAGGAACACUGCAGUGAUGUUUUACAGUAAGCCAGGUGAGGAACACUGCAGUGAUGUUUUACAGUAAGCCAGGUGAGGAACACUGCAGUGAUGUUUUACAGUAAGCCAGGUGAGGAACACUGCAGUGAUGUUUUACAGUAAGCCAGGUGAGGUACACUGCAGUGAUGUUUUACAGUAAGCCAGGUGAGGAACAUGGCAGUGAUGUUUUACAGUAAGCCAGGUGAGGAACACUGCAGUGAUGUUUUACAGUAAGCCAGGUGAGGAACACUGCAGUGAUGUUUUACAGUAAGCCAGUUGAGGAACACUGCAGUGAUGUUUUACAGUAAGCCAG
Oncorhynchus keta (chum salmon) is the source of this 479-nucleotide long non-coding RNA. RefSeq lists it as uncharacterized. NCBI's taxonomy places the organism in Eukaryota, Metazoa, Chordata, Actinopteri, Salmoniformes, Salmonidae. The transcript has 3 exons. The record is from RefSeq and is a predicted model, not a curated record.